UGGAGCUAGCCGUCGAAGGUGGGACAAAUGAUUGGGGUGAAGUCGUAACAAGGUAGCCGUAUCGGAAGGUGCGGCUGGAUCACCUCCUUUCUAAGGA
RNAcentral lists this ribosomal RNA (97 nucleotides) under Staphylococcus haemolyticus. RNAcentral's name for it is "partial 16S ribosomal RNA". It matches the Rfam family "Bacterial small subunit ribosomal RNA", at positions 1444 to 1533 of the family's 1533-position model. RNAcentral also lists the same sequence under 4 other names. Lineage: Bacteria; Bacillati; Bacillota; Bacilli; Caryophanales; Staphylococcaceae. The record is from RNAcentral.